RNAcentral lists this ribosomal RNA (506 nucleotides) under uncultured bacterium. Its description in RNAcentral is "partial 16S ribosomal RNA". It matches the Rfam family "Bacterial small subunit ribosomal RNA", at positions 29 to 523 of the family's 1533-position model. The record is from RNAcentral.
AGUGAACGCUGGCGGUAGGCCUAACACAUGCAAGUCGAACGGCAGCACAGGAGAGCUUGCUCUCUGGGUGGCGAGUGGCGGACGGGUGAGGAAUACAUCGGAAUCUACUCUGUCGUGGGGGAUAACGUAGGGAAACUUACGCUAAUACCGCAUACGACCUACGGGUGAAAGCAGGGGACCUUCGAGCCUUGCGCGAAUGAAUGAGCCGAUGUCGGAUUAGCUAGUUGGCGGGGUAAAGGCCCACCAAGGCGACGAUCCGUAGCUGGUCGGAGAGGAUGAUCAGCCACACUGGAACUGAGACACGGUCCAGACUCCUACGGGAGGCAGCAGUGGGGAAUAUUGGACAAUGGGCGCAAGCCUGAUCCAGCCAUACCGCGUGGGUGAAGAAGGCCUUCGGGUUGUAAAGCCCUUUUGUUGGGAAAGAAAUCCAGCUGGCUAAUACCCGGUUGGGAUGACGGUACCCAAAGAAUAAGCACCGGCUAACUUCGUGCCAGCCGCCGCAGUAA